AAACAUGGCUCUCUGGAAUAAUAAUAUAGAGAGUCAGGCCUGCCCAGUGAAUUUUUUCAACGGCCGCAGUACCCUAACUGUGCAAAGGUAGCAUAAUCACUUGCUCUAUAAUUGAGGGCUAGAAUGAAAGGCUUAACAAGAACGCGACUGUCUCUAUUAAAUUAUAUAUAAAUUAAUAUUCAAGUGAAGAAGCUUGAGUGAAAUUAAAAGACGAGAAGACCCUGUCGAGCUUUUAAAAGUUAUAUAAACCUACUAAAUUUUAUAAUUUCUUUUUGGUUGGGGCGACCAAGGAACCAACUAAAAAUCUUCCUUAUUUUUAGCAAAAUCAUUAGACCCAGUACAACUGAUUAAUAAAACAAGCUACCGCAGGGAUAACAGCGUAAUUUUCUUUAAGAGCCCUCAUCAAAAAGAAACCUUGCGACCUCGAUGUUGGACUAAAAUUUCCUUAAUGAUGCAGAAGUCUACUAAGGUUGGUCUGUUCGACCAUUAAAAUUUUACAUGAUCUGA
Molecule: ribosomal RNA, 507 nt
Filed under: Merelina gracilis
Lineage: Eukaryota; Metazoa; Mollusca; Gastropoda; Littorinimorpha; Rissoidae
Description: partial 16S ribosomal RNA
Rfam family: Bacterial large subunit ribosomal RNA
Source: RNAcentral